This 1175-nucleotide long non-coding RNA is filed under the name Cyanistes caeruleus (blue tit). Its description in RNAcentral is "lncRNA (ENSCCEG00000024060.1)". Lineage: Eukaryota; Metazoa; Chordata; Aves; Passeriformes; Paridae. The record is from RNAcentral.
GCAGAGCCAGCCAGAGGCAAGGAUUUUGUUAGCGUUUGGAGGAGAAAACAGGGAAUUUCCACAUAUGGAAAAAUGUUCCUUUAAACUGUGAUUAUGUAAAAAUACAAAGCCACAACUGAUAAUAUCUCUCACUCUGGGGAAUGAUGGAGAGUGUUUGUUUCUUUAAUUGCAUUUAAUACUCAUGAAAGUUACCAGCUUGCCACUACUGCAAGCGAAGCUCGUUAGUUGGAUUGCAGCACACACAACACCAGCUUCCUUUCCACGCUUCUUCAGUAGUGCAUUUUGCCCUCGUUAUUAAAAGACAGCUCCUAAUUUAAUAUCUGUGCAUAUUUGAUUGCUGGUGCUUUGCCUGAAAAUUGCCUGUAGAGGUGCAAACUAAAAUUAGGUGUAUGAUGAGUUUCUAAAUGAGGACCUUUAUUAGUCAAAGGUGGGCUGACUUCUGUUAGGCAGGAGCAGAGCCAUGAGCCAGGCUCCUACUCCUGCCCCAGGUGAGCACCCUGGGUCUUAGGUGUCUGCAGAUGUUCUUGUUAUCCCUCUGAACAGUCCUCAUUCUCUUGGAUUUUACCCAUUUUUUUUCAUCUCAAAUAUAGGAAUUUAACCAGGGACUGGGUGGAAAAGUAUUUCCAUUGGUUUUGGAUGUGCUACCCUGGGAUUUUCCUUUGAUUCCCAUUCAGAAGCUCCCUUCCCUUGGUAUGCUUUCAUCCCAUGCUCUCCUGUGUUCCUCCUCUCUAAGGUAAACGGAUUGGGCUGGUGUAUAAAGGGGUGCAGAGGAAACUGACAGUGCGGGCAGGAUCCUGUGAGAGCUGAUGUGGGCUGUGCUCCUGUUGCUGCUUUAAUUCAUCAUCACUGGAGCAUGUAAAACCAGGACAGUUGCUGGAGCUGCAGCGCAUGAAUCACCCUUUGAGAGAAACGUGCCCCUGCGUGCUCCGACAAGCCCUCCUUUUCAAAGUGCCGUUGUCAAACCUGGCUUGCUGAGAGCGUGGAUCCAAAAACCUCUCACUGCAAAGCAACAUCCUGGGAAUAAGCCAACAAGAGCUGGAAAACUCAUGCAAAUAGAGUCCCAAACUUCAUCUACCUUAAAUUGAAGAAGAAAGAUGUUGCCAAAGGUUUUGAGACUGGAGCCAUAAAAAGUGAAUAUUAUUUUCAGUCCCUUUCUGCAGGUACCUAGAGAAGGG